UAAGGAAUAUUGGUCAAUGGGCGGAAGCCUGAACCAGCCAUGCCGCGUGCAGGAAGACGGCCCUACGGGUUGUAAACUGCUUUUACAGGGGAAUAAACCCCCGUACGUGUACGGGGCUGAAUGUACUCUGAGAAUAAGGAUCGGCUAACUCCGUGCCAGCAGCCGCGGUAAUACGGAGGAUCCAAGCGUUAUCCGGAUUUAUUGGGUUUAAAGGGUGCGUAGGCGGCCUGUUAAGUCAGGGGUGAAAGACGGUAGCUUAACUAUCGCAGUGCCCUUGAUACUGAUGGGCUUGAAUAUACUAGAGGUAGGCGGAAUGUGACAAGUAGCGGUGAAAUGCAUAGAUAUGUCACAGAACACCAAUUGCGAAGGCAGCUUACUAUGGUAUGAUUGACGCUGAGGCACGAAAGCGUGGGGAUCAAACA
This 422-nucleotide ribosomal RNA is filed under the name uncultured Mucilaginibacter sp. Its description in RNAcentral is "bacterial SSU rRNA". It matches the Rfam family "Bacterial small subunit ribosomal RNA", at positions 355 to 774 of the family's 1533-position model. Lineage: Bacteria; Pseudomonadati; Bacteroidota; Sphingobacteriia; Sphingobacteriales; Sphingobacteriaceae. The record is from RNAcentral.